AUGUACCAGGGAUGGACAAACCAGGCAGCCUUAGCAAAUGGGCAAAGAAAAAGAAUGUGCUUUUCAUCUUCUUCCACUCCACACCUGGAGCAAAAUUUACUUAUUUGGGCUGUGUAUUUACCUGCUCUUAUACUUGUUGGAAGGGCUUUUCUGAUAAGUCUCCAUGCAAAUGUUUGUAUCCUUGGAGCUAUAUCUUUUGUUUUCCAAAUUUGUUUCAAUAGCUCUCUUCAGUUGGCUGUAAUGAUUGUGGGUUGUGGUUCUCCUUCUUCCUGCAAAACCUGCAAACAGAGCUUGUAUGCACUUUUAGUUGUAAAUUUCCCUGAAGGGUGA
RNAcentral lists this ribosomal RNA (330 nucleotides) under Triticum aestivum (bread wheat). RNAcentral describes it as "partial small subunit ribosomal RNA". Lineage: Eukaryota; Viridiplantae; Streptophyta; Magnoliopsida; Poales; Poaceae. The record is from RNAcentral.